Molecule: ribosomal RNA, 465 nt
Filed under: uncultured bacterium
Lineage: Bacteria
Description: partial 16S ribosomal RNA
Rfam family: Bacterial small subunit ribosomal RNA
Source: RNAcentral
GACGAACGCUGGCGGCGUGCUUAACACAUGCAAGUCGAACGGAAAGGCCCUGCUUGCAGGGUACUCGAGUGGCGAACGGGUGAGUAACACGUGGGUGAUCUGCCCUGCACUUCGGGAUAAGCCUGGGAAACUGGGUCUAAUACCGGAUAGGAGCCAUUUUUAGUGUGAUGGUUGGAAAGUUUUUUCGGUGUAGGAUGAGCUGGCGGCCUAUCAGCUUGUUGGUGGGGUAAUGGCCUACCAAGGCGGCGACGGGUAGCCGGACUGAGAGGGUGGACGGCCACAUUGACACUGAGAGGCGGCACAGACUCCGACGGGAGGGAGAAGGGGGGAAGACUGCAGGAGGGGCGCAGGGCUAAUGCAGCGGGGCCGCGGGGGGGAUGACGGCGUUCGGGUUGGAAACUCCUUGCGCUAGGGACGAUGCAUGUUGUGACGGUACCUAGAUAAGAAGCACCGGCUAACUACGUG